GAAUUUGUAGCUUAGUCGGUGAAGAAUCUGCCUGCAAUGCAGGAGACUCAAGUUCG
This 56-nucleotide transfer RNA is filed under the name Bos taurus (domestic cattle). RNAcentral also lists the same sequence under 4 other names. The record is from Rfam by way of RNAcentral. Lineage: Eukaryota; Metazoa; Chordata; Mammalia; Artiodactyla; Bovidae.